RNAcentral lists this ribosomal RNA (253 nucleotides) under uncultured bacterium. RNAcentral describes it as "partial 16S ribosomal RNA". It matches the Rfam family "Bacterial small subunit ribosomal RNA", at positions 524 to 776 of the family's 1533-position model. The record is from RNAcentral.
UACGGGGGGGGCAAGCGUUGUUCGGAAUUACUGGGCGUAAAGGGCGCGUAGGCGGCCGCCUAAGUCAGACGUGAAAUCCCUCGGCUCAACCGGGGAACUGCGUCUGAUACUGGUGAGCUUGAAUGCGGGAGAGGAUAGUGGAAUUCCCAGUGUAGAGGUGAAAUUCGUAGAUAUUGGGAAGAACACCGGUGGCGAAGGCGGCUAUCUGGCCCGUAAUUGACGCUGAGGCGCGAAAGCGUGGGGAGCAAACAGG